RNAcentral lists this ribosomal RNA (507 nucleotides) under uncultured bacterium. RNAcentral describes it as "bacterial SSU rRNA". It matches the Rfam family "Bacterial small subunit ribosomal RNA", at positions 29 to 530 of the family's 1533-position model. The record is from RNAcentral.
AUUGAACGCUGGCGGCAUGCCUAACACAUGCAAGUCGAACGGUAACAGGCCCGCAAGGGUGCUGACGAGUGGCAGACGGGUGAGUAAUACGUAGGAAUCUGCCCUGUAGUGGGGGAUAGCCCGGCGAAAGCCGGAUUAAUACCGCAUACGCUCUACGGAGGAAAGCGGGGGAUCGCAAGACCUCGCGCUAUUGGAUGAGCCUACGUCUGAUUAGCUAGUUGGUAGGGUAACGGCCUACCAAGGCGACGAUCAGUAGCUGGUCUGAGAGGAUGAUCAGCCACACCGGAACUGAGGCACGGUCCGGACUCCUACGGGAGGCAGCAGUGGGGAAUAUUGGACAAUGGGGGAAACCCUGAUCCAGCAAUGCCGCGUGUGUGAAGAAGGCCUGCGGGUUGUAAAGCACUUUUGUUGGGGAAGAAAAGCCGUCGGCGAAUAUCCGGCGGUCUUGACGGUACCCAAAGAAUAAGCACCGGCUAACUCCGUGCCAGCAGCCGCGGUAAUACGGGA